Molecule: ribosomal RNA, 253 nt
Filed under: uncultured bacterium
Lineage: Bacteria
Description: partial 16S ribosomal RNA
Rfam family: Bacterial small subunit ribosomal RNA
Source: RNAcentral
UACGUAGGGUGCAGGCGUUAAUCGGAAUUACUGGGCGUAAAGCGUGCGCAGGCGGCCUCUUAAGUCAGAUGUGAAAUCCCCGGGCUUAACCUGGGAACUGCGUUUGAAACUGGGAGGCUAGAGUGUGGAAGAGGGGGGUGGAAUUCCAGGUGUAGCAGUGAAAUGCGUAGAGAUCUGGAGGAACACCGAUGGCGAAGGCAGCCCCCUGGGCUGAAACUGACGCUCAUGCACGAAAGCGUGGGGAGCAAACAGG